RNAcentral lists this ribosomal RNA (465 nucleotides) under Vreelandella stevensii. RNAcentral describes it as "partial 16S ribosomal RNA". It matches the Rfam family "Bacterial small subunit ribosomal RNA", at positions 338 to 795 of the family's 1533-position model. The record is from RNAcentral. Lineage: Bacteria; Pseudomonadati; Pseudomonadota; Gammaproteobacteria; Oceanospirillales; Halomonadaceae.
CCUACGGGGCGCAGCAGUGGGGAAUAUUGGACAAUGGGCGAAAGCCUGAUCCAGCCAUGCCGCGUGUGUGAAGAAGGCCUUCGGGUUGUAAAGCACUUUCAGUGGGGAAGAAAGCCUUGGGGCUAAUACCCUCGAGGAAGGACAUCACCCACAGAAGAAGCACCGGCUAACUCCGUGCCAGCAGCCGCGGUAAUACGGAGGGUGCGAGCGUUAAUCGGAAUUACUGGGCGUAAAGCGCGCGUAGGCGGUCUGAUAAGCCGGUUGUGAAAGCCCCGGGCUCAACCUGGGAACGGCAUCCGGAACUGUCAGGUUAGAGUGCAGGAGAGGAAGGUAGAAUUCCCGGUGGAGCGGUGAAAUGCGUAGAGAUCGGGAGGAAUACCAGUGGCGAAGGCGGCCUUCUGGACUGACACUGACGCUGAGGUGCGAAAGCGUGGGUAGCAAACAGGAUUAGAUACCCGGGUCGUC